ACAAAUAUAUAUGUAUAAAUAUAUGUGUAAUUCAGGAAAAUGGCCACAAACUGAAGCUUAGGAGGUUUAGAAAGAAGCUUAGGACUUUAGAAAAUGUGUUUUUAUCAGAAACCAACGGCAUUAGAACAAGUUGUCCAGAAAAGCUGCUGAGUCUCCAUUCCUUCAUGUUUUCAGAAUUCAACUCAGCAGGCCUCAGUUGACCUACUGCAG
Long non-coding RNA from Oxyura jamaicensis (ruddy duck), 210 nucleotides. RefSeq lists it as uncharacterized. The transcript is spliced from 3 exons. Lineage: Eukaryota; Metazoa; Chordata; Aves; Anseriformes; Anatidae. The record is from RefSeq and is a predicted model, not a curated record.